CCUACGGGAGGCAGCAGUGAGGAAUAUUGGUCAAUGGGCGAGAGUCUGAACCAGCCAAGUAGCGUGAAGGAUGACUGCCCUAUGGGUUGUAAACUUCUUUUAUAUGGGAAUAAAGUGUUCCACGUGUGGGUUUUUGUAUGUACCAUAUGAAUAAGGAUCGGCUAACUCCGUGCCAGCAGCCGCGGUAAUACGGAGGAUCCGAGCGUUAUCCGGAUUUAUUGGGUUUAAAGGGAGCGUAGGUGGAUUGUUAAGUCAGUUGUGAAAGUUUGCGGCUCAACCGUAAAAUUGCAGUUGAAACUGGCAGUCUUGAGUACAGUAGAGGUGGGCGGAAUUCGUGGUGUAGCGGUGAAAUGCUUAGAUAUCACGAAGAACUCCGAUUGCGAAGGCAGCUUACUAGACUGCAACUGACACUGAUGCUCGAAAGUGUGGGUAUCAAACAGGAUUAGAUACCCGGGUAGUC
RNAcentral lists this ribosomal RNA (460 nucleotides) under uncultured bacterium. Its description in RNAcentral is "partial 16S ribosomal RNA". It matches the Rfam family "Bacterial small subunit ribosomal RNA", at positions 338 to 795 of the family's 1533-position model. The record is from RNAcentral.